UCUGGCGGUCGUAGCGCGGUGGUCCCACCUGACCCCAUGCCGAACUCAGAAGUGAAACGCCGUAGCGCCGAUGGUAGUGUGGGGUCUCCCCAUGCGAGAGUAGGGAACUGCCAGAC
Molecule: ribosomal RNA, 116 nt
Filed under: Escherichia coli
Lineage: Bacteria; Pseudomonadati; Pseudomonadota; Gammaproteobacteria; Enterobacterales; Enterobacteriaceae
Source: RNAcentral